UUAGAUUACGAGAAUCUUUCCAUAACAUUUUCUGGAGCAAACUUUGAUUGGAUUGGAAAGUGUCCUACUCAACCUGGAAAAGUGGAAUGUGGAUAUUAUGUAAUGAAGUUCAUGAAAGCAAUCAUUGAGGAUCCAACCAUAUUAACAAGAAGCAAGUUCAACAACCAAAGUUACAAUCAAGAAGAGAUAGAUGAUGUUCGAGUAGAGUGGGCUGACCUUGUUGAAACAUUACUCCAAGAUGAUGUAGAAUAGUUU
Molecule: long non-coding RNA, 255 nt
Organism: Rosa rugosa (rugosa rose)
Lineage: Eukaryota; Viridiplantae; Streptophyta; Magnoliopsida; Rosales; Rosaceae
Exons: 3
Source: RefSeq, a predicted model, not a curated record